This 313-nucleotide ribosomal RNA is filed under the name uncultured Glomus. Its description in RNAcentral is "SSU rRNA". It matches the Rfam family "Eukaryotic small subunit ribosomal RNA", at positions 570 to 886 of the family's 1831-position model. The record is from RNAcentral. Lineage: Eukaryota; Fungi; Glomeromycota; Glomeromycetes; Glomerales; Glomeraceae.
GCAGCUAUGGUAAUUUCAGCUCCAAUAGCAUAUAUUAAAGUUGUUGCAGUUAAAAAGCUUGUAGUUGAAUUUCGGGAUCAGCAAGUUGGUCGUGCCACUGGUAUGUACUAGCUUUACUGAUUCCUCCUUCUUGCAGAACUGUAAUGCCAUUAAUUUGAUGUUGCGGGGAAACAGGACUUGUUACUUUAAAAAAAUUAGAGUGUUUAAAGCAGGCUAACGCCUGAAUACAUUAGCAUGGAAUAAUGAAAUAGGACGCUCGAUCCUAUUUUGUUGGUUUUUAGGAUUGACGUAAUGAUUAAUAGGGAUAGUUGGG